UCAUUUACUUUUUCGGAAAAAAAAAAAAACAAUAUAAAGGAAAGGACCGAACCCGGGUUAGUAUGACAUGAAUAUAGGGCAUACACCACUAAGCCAUUGAAACUUUCUUGGACAAAUAUACAAGCAACACUAAAUAUGUAAUCACAAACUCUUAUGUACAUUUACAAUAAUAUGGAUUCAACUUUCAAGACUUCGAUACUUUGUUUUGUAAAAAAAAUAAGUAAGUGACUAAGCUAAUAUAUUCUUUGAAAGUGUGAGAACAUUGACAAAUAUGAAAAAG
This 280-nucleotide long non-coding RNA is filed under the name Brassica rapa (field mustard). RNAcentral describes it as "long non-coding RNA (BRAP_LNC005146)". Lineage: Eukaryota; Viridiplantae; Streptophyta; Magnoliopsida; Brassicales; Brassicaceae. The record is from RNAcentral.